RNAcentral lists this ribosomal RNA (492 nucleotides) under uncultured bacterium. Its description in RNAcentral is "partial 16S ribosomal RNA". It matches the Rfam family "Bacterial small subunit ribosomal RNA", at positions 29 to 507 of the family's 1533-position model. The record is from RNAcentral.
AGUGAACGCUGGCGGUAGGCCUAACACAUGCAAGUCGAACGGCAGCACAGUAAGAGCUUGCUCUUACGGGUGGCGGGUGGCGGACGGGUGAGGAAUACAUCGGAAUCUACUUUUUCGUGGGGGAUAACGUAGGGAAACUUACGCUAAUACCGCAUACGACCUACGGGUGAAAGCAGGGGAUCUUCGGACCUUGCGCGAUUGAAUGAGCCGAUGUCGGAUUAGCUAGUUGGCGGGGUAAAGGCCCGCCAAGGCGACGAUCCGUAGCUGGUCUGAGAGGAUGAUCAGCCACACUGGAACUGAGACACGGUCCAGACUCCUACGGGAGGCAGCAGUGGGGAAUAUUGGACAAUGGGCGCAAGCCUGAUCCAGCCAUACCGCGUGGGUGAAGAAGGCCUUCGGGUUGUAAAGCCCUUUUGUUGGGAAAGAAAAGCAGCAGGUUAAUACCCCGCUGUUCUGACGGUACCCAAAGAAUAAGCACCGGCUAACUUCGUG